CACCGGCGGCUUGAGUGGUGGCCACUUUUAUUGGGUCUAAAGCGUCCGUAGCCGGCUUGGCAAGUCCCCUGGGAAAUCUGGCGGCUUAACCGUCAGGCGUCCAGAGGAUACUGCCAGGCUUGGGACCGGGAGAGGUGAGAGGUACCUCAGGGGUAGGGGUGAAAUCUUGUGAUCCCUGAGGGACCACCAGUGGCGAAGGCGUCUCACUAGAACGGGUCCGACGGUCAGGGACGAAAGCUGGGGGCACGAACCGG
This 254-nucleotide ribosomal RNA is filed under the name uncultured microorganism. RNAcentral's name for it is "partial 16S ribosomal RNA". It matches the Rfam family "Archaeal small subunit ribosomal RNA", at positions 474 to 727 of the family's 1478-position model. The record is from RNAcentral.